UCCACAGUGUAACCCACCGAAGCUUUGCCGCAGCGACUCUAAACAAUUGCACCAGUCCGCUCUGCGGGCAACACCAUGAUCUCACUGGGACCUCCAUCCUGCCUGCCGGGUGUGGACACCAGUGGCCUGUUCAGCACAGGUUCACAGAUCAAACAAUGGUGGCCAACAGCUCGGCUCGCCUGAACUGGUUGGUUAAGAUAUGACCGGUCUCCACUGUAACCAGCUGGAGGGCACACGUUCCGUAGGUGAACCUGCGGAAGGAUCAUUACAGAGUUAGGGUCUUCCGGGCCCAACCUCCAACCCUAUGUGUACCUACCUUUGUUGCUUUGGCGGGCCUGUCGAGGCAACUCACCGAUGGCCGCAGGCUGUCGAGUGCCCGUCAAAGGCCCAUCAAACUCCGUUAAUUGUGCUGUCUGAGUACCAAUACAAUAGUUAAAACUUUCAACAACGGAUCUCUUGGUUCUGGCAUCGAUGAAGAACGCAGCGAAAUGCGAUAAGUAAUGUGAAUUGCAGAAUUCAGUGAAUCAUCGAAUCUUUGAACGCACAUUGCGCCCCUCGGUAUUCCAAGGGGCAUGCCUGUUCGAGCGUCAUUACACCACUCAAGCUUGGCUUGGUAUUGGGCCUUCGUCCCCCGUGGACGUGCCUGAAAAUUAGCGGCGGCACAGCCUCAGCUUCAAGCAGCAUCAGUUUCAUCUUUCGCUUUGGAAGCUCGGGUCUGAGUCAGCCGAACAACCCUCAUGUUUUCUAAAGGUUGACCUCGGAUCAGGUAGGGAUACCCGCUGAACUUAAGCAUAUC
Molecule: ribosomal RNA, 796 nt
Filed under: Acarospora cervina
Lineage: Eukaryota; Fungi; Ascomycota; Lecanoromycetes; Acarosporales; Acarosporaceae
Description: eukaryotic LSU rRNA
Rfam family: 5.8S ribosomal RNA (bases 437-590)
Source: RNAcentral